AUUGAACGCUGGCGGCAGGCCUAACACAUGCAAGUCGAGCGAGCGGCGGACGGGGGAGUAAUGUAUGGGAAACUGCCUGAUGGAGGGGGAUAACUACUGGAAACGGUAGCUAAUACCGCAUACCAUCAGAUGUGCCCAGAUGGGAUUAGCUAGUAGGUGGGGUAAUGGCUCACCUAGGCGACGAUCCCUAGCUGGUCUGAGAGGAUGACCAGCCACACUGGAACUGAGACACGGUCCGGACUCCUACGGGAGGCAGCAUUGGGGAAUAUUGCACAAUGGGCGCAAGCCUGAUGCAGCCAUGCCGCUUGUUUGAAGAAGGCCUUCGGGUUGUAAAGCACUUUCAGCGGGGAGGCGUUACCCGCAGAAGAAGCACCGGCUAACUCCGUGCCAGCAGCCGCGGUAAUAC
This 406-nucleotide ribosomal RNA is filed under the name uncultured bacterium. Its description in RNAcentral is "partial 16S ribosomal RNA". It matches the Rfam family "Bacterial small subunit ribosomal RNA", at positions 30 to 526 of the family's 1533-position model. The record is from RNAcentral.